This 41-nucleotide ribosomal RNA is filed under the name Phytophthora palmivora. Its description in RNAcentral is "partial 18S ribosomal RNA". RNAcentral also lists the same sequence under 1 other name. Lineage: Eukaryota; Oomycota; Peronosporomycetes; Peronosporales; Peronosporaceae. The record is from RNAcentral.
UAUACAAGGUUUCCGUAGGUGAACCUGCGGAAGGAUCAUUA